This is a long non-coding RNA of Megachile rotundata (alfalfa leafcutting bee), 2525 nucleotides long. RefSeq lists it as uncharacterized. Lineage: Eukaryota; Metazoa; Arthropoda; Insecta; Hymenoptera; Megachilidae. The record is from RefSeq and is a predicted model, not a curated record.
UAAGGGUAUUCCACGUUUCUAUGUGAGCGUACUCUGUACUUACAUGUAAGUGCGAUAGCGACACUAAAAAUGGUACAAGGAAAAGAAAACGACAGUUGGAGAGUGAUAAUUUAAAUUUAGUUUAAAAUGUGGACGUUUCCAAGAAACUGUACCAUAUUUCAAGAGCUGUAAAUUAUGAUUAUGAUUGAACUGUAAAUUUAUGAAUCAAGAAGUACAGAAUAAAUUAAAGGAAUAUAAAGUGAGUUACCAUGGGCUACCACUACUUCCUCAAUGCCACAUAGCAAGAUUAUGCAUCGAAAAUUCACGAGUUAACCAUAAUUCCGCUGGAUUCAUCGAGUCUUGCAAACGGACGAAAGUCCCACCGACCAUAAAAUGUUCAGUCACGGUCGAUGAAGACCUCAUCCGGACACACUACUCGUGGCUAGAUUCCGUAUAUUGUGAACAUCAGCUUCACUUCUGAAACUACUUUCGGAGGUAAUACAGGAAGUCUGUAAAAUAAGUACCUGUGUUAGACAUAAAUGUUAUGAAACACCGCAUCCGUUUUAGUUUAACGUAACCAUUAUAUAAUUAUUCUACCACGUCAUAAUAAGUAGACUACUCUCAUUCCUUGAACUUCAGUUUAACAUGAAUUUUUAAAUUUAUUUUUGCAGUACUCAUUGGUAAUAAUGGGACAGUUCCUGUUUACUGAUAUUGUGACUCACAAGGUGUGUCAAUGUGUAUACUGUAUUGAUGAUGUAAGACGCACAUGGUGCGUCAUUUUCCUUGCAUGUCACAGAGACGCACACGUUAUAUUGUCAUCUUUAUUUUGUGAAAGCUACUGUGACGCACCGUGUGCGUCGUCUGCAUUGGUUGGUAUUGUGACACACAGGGUGCGUUGUCAUUGCAUGAUGUUAUUGUGACACACAAGGUGCGUCAGGGUGUACAUUCUUCUUAUAGAAUAGAAUAUAUUGUUACGUCACUGUUUAUAUUUUAUAUCUUAUAAAUAGAAUAGGACGCACAUAGUGUAUCAUCAUUUUCUUUGCGUGGAUGACGUGACGCACAAGGUGUGUCAUCGUUUUCAUUGCGUGGAUGACGUGACACACAAGGUGUGUCAAUGUGUACAUUGUGUAGAUGAACAGGACACACAUGGUGCGUCAUCGUUUAUAUUUUAUGUUGUAUAGAUAAAAUAGUAUACACAUAAUGUGCAACUGUUUUUUAUUGCGUGGAUAACGUGACGCACAUGGUGUGUUAGUGUAUAUUACGUAGAUGAGUAGGACAUACAUGGUGCGUCAUCGUUUAUAUUUUAUAUUGUAUAGAUAAAAUAGGAUACACAUAAUGUGCAACUGUUUUUUAUUGCGUGCAUAACGUGACGCACAAGGUGCGUCAGUGUAUAUUACGUAGAUGAGUAGGACACACAUGGUGCGUCAUCGUUUAUAUUUUAUAUUGUUCACAUAAAACAGGACACAUACGGUGUGUCAUCGUUUAUAUUAUAUACACUGUGUUAUCUGUUGGCAAUGUAUGAGUGAUGUAACAAGAUGUAGCAAGAUAUAGUAAGAUAUAGUGUUGUAAAAUUAUACCUGUAUCAAGCAGUAUCUGAAGCCCAAAUUUCUAGGGGAAUAUGUUCUGUUUUAAGAUUUUGUUUGAAUACUUUACAUAGAGUAGAAUACUUUAUAGAAUUUAAACGAAUUUCUGAAAAAUUUGUAUUAAAAAAUUGUACAAUUAUAGACUAAAUAGUAUUUAACAUCAAAUUAGAAAAUUUUCGAUGCUUUAUUAUGACAAUUCGUUUUCACAGAAAUAGAUUUGAAUUUUACCGCCAUUUUAGAUCACGUCCGGUUUAGAGCAGCAUGGCGGUACAUUCUGCGAUCACUGCUUGAAACGGUGUAAACCACGAGGAUAGAUAUUACGUGCGUGACGUCAUUAGAAUUCUUAACUGGUUAUCGACAUAAAGAAUAUCAUUUCGAAACUGUCAAUUCCGUGACGAAUCUUUUGUCACGUUAAUUCUCUUUUCUUGUUUUGUUACUCACGAUUCUCGCGUCUCGUAUCACCUUGAGAAGGACCAGGAGGAUCUCGAAUCUUGUCGAUUUUUAGCAUUAAAAUCGAGUCGUCUGAUCGUGUUCCCGUCACCGUUCGCGUUAUCGUAGCUGGUAAAUUCACGUGUUACGUAAAUCUUCCAGAGAUCCGCGCAUCUUUGACCAAUUAGCGAGUCUCGUUUUUAUCGUGCCGACACGGUUCACGAAAGAGUCAUUGACAAAAAUUCGCCAGCGAUAUUUCGUUUCGUUUUGCAGCCAAACCAGUGAUGAAUCAAUCAAUUAACAAAACACGCACUCCGGGAAACAAUUUUUCGGAUCUUGAAAAUCUUUCAGAAAUUUUAUGAUCUAUAUUUUUGCAAUUUUUUGUUUAACUUGUGUUGAUGACAAUAUGUAACUAUAAAUAUUGAUAAAUGUUAUGUCAGCAAAGAAUGACAAAAUAUUGUUUAAAAAGGCCAAGAUCUCUGAUCUUGUUUCGACUUUAAUAUUUACUGUCUUGUAAAUAUUGAAGAUAUCGAA